UGCUCUGGUGGUGAAAUUGGUAAACACGAAUGAUUCAAAAUUAUUUGCUUUUUAGCUUGGAGGUUCGAGUCCUCUGCAGAGUAU
RNAcentral lists this transfer RNA (84 nucleotides) under Microrhizoidea pickettheapsiorum. RNAcentral's name for it is "tRNA-Leu". It matches the Rfam family "tRNA". From Rfam's summary of the family: Transfer RNA (tRNA) molecules are approximately 80 nucleotides in length. Their secondary structure includes four short double-helical elements and three loops (D, anti-codon, and T loops). Lineage: Eukaryota; Viridiplantae; Chlorophyta; Mamiellophyceae; Dolichomastigales. The record is from RNAcentral.